CGCUGUUUAUAACUUUGUAGUAAUAAGAAAAAUCUCUAGACCAAGGCUACCUGAAAGGUAGAUCCCGGUGUUUUAAAACUAGAGAUUCUAUGAUGCCUUGUCAUUCCAAAGGCAUGCAAAGCAUCAUGGGAGUUUUAGUUCUGCAGUGUCUGGGGAUCUACCCUUUGGGCACCCCCUGCUCUAGACUAAAAUGUUGCAAAGAUGUGAUCAGUUUCUCACACCCCUCCCGGAUUAUCCUAAACUGCCCUUCAGGAUUUCAAUAACCCUGCAAGCUUGUAGUCACCAUGGAACUCUAAAUUUUGGGCAUCUGUCAUCAGUACAGAAGACAUGCUCUCCCUGCAGUGAGAGUCAU
This is a non-coding RNA of Pelobates cultripes (western spadefoot toad), 352 nucleotides long. The record is from the annotation of a GenBank genome assembly. Lineage: Eukaryota; Metazoa; Chordata; Amphibia; Anura; Pelobatidae.